This 240-nucleotide ribosomal RNA is filed under the name Triticum aestivum (bread wheat). Its description in RNAcentral is "partial small subunit ribosomal RNA". Lineage: Eukaryota; Viridiplantae; Streptophyta; Magnoliopsida; Poales; Poaceae. The record is from RNAcentral.
AUGGCAAUUGUCCAUACAUACGGGAAGCCUGACAUCUUCCUCACAAUGACUUGCAAUCCUAAAUGGCAAGAGAUAACAGAUGAGUUGCUGCCUGGUCAGACGGCGCAAGACCGACCUGAUGUUGUGGCACGUGUGUUCUAUGGCAAACUAGAGCACAUGAAAUACAUGUUGUUCAAGAAGCAUAUCCUGGGUGUUGUUGUCGCUUACGUAUACGUAGUCGAGUUCCAAAAAAGGGGCCUC